CUUCCCACCAGCAGUGGAAAGGCUGUGAUGGUAAUUGCUGAUAGCAGUAUCUGUCAUGAGUUCAGGACAAACUAGAUAUAUUAGCUAAAUACAGCUUCAAAGGAAAUUCAUUAAGAUUCCAAAAUAGGAGAAAAGAACCAAGAGCUGUCUGCCUUUUUAUGUUCUAUGCCCCAUGUCUUUAAGCUUGAACUUAUUUUUGUCUUAAUUUUGUAGGCACCUUUAAAAAUUAUUAUUUUUUAUUUCAUUUUUUGUUUAUUUUUGAUCUGCCUGAACCACGUAGAUUGAAAGUACAGGGACUAAUCAUAAAUCCCAUCUACUUAGAUUAUUAUGAGAAUUUUCACCUCCUCCAUUUCUAAUCUGGUCUAAUUCAUUCUUCCUAAGGAAACCUGGUCCCCUAUAUUGAGAACUCCUAAGCUCAAGAGAUGCAAGAGCCUGAGCCUUUCCAGUAGUCUGGAUUAUGAAAAAGAUCUAUCAUGUUCAACUUGAUUCUGGAUGCACUUGUUUAUUUCAUUUUUAACUUCCAUUGGCUGUUAGCCUGCAGUUUAGUACGGGCUCACAGAUCAUCAGUGCAUGAAUUAUUCCUUGAAGAUAAUCACCAAAUAGGUGACCAGUGAACGAAUGAAGCAUUGGUUGAUGAUUGCAGUGAUCUGGUCCUCUUGAAAAGCGGGUUUGCUGCAUUCAUUAAAAGCAAGAACCAUGUUUUCUAAGAUCUCUUUAAAAGGUUGGAAGAUGCAUUCCCAAAGAUGCUGCUGUUCUUUCCCCAUAACAAAUACAUGAAUGCUCCUGAAAUCCUUUGAAGAUGUGAAGUGAGAUGUGUAACAAAGUUUGGGGCAAAGCAUCUGCUGAAGAAAGGCCCUAAAGGAGAGUCUUUGAUUGCCUAUGCAUUCUAUGGAAAGGUAAACAUCCCGAGGUCCUGUGAACCUGUACAGACAGGAAAGAGAGCCAUCAUUUAUAAGAAAUAAUAAAAACAAGAAAAAAAGGAGGAAGAAGAGAAGAAAACAAAGAAGGAAUGAAGAAAGAAAGAAAGAAAGAAAGAAAGAAAGAAAGAAAGAAAGAAAGAAAGAAAGAAAGAAAGAAAGAAAGAAAAGAGAAAGAAAGAAAAAAAAUCUCAUUAAUUGUGCAAGCUGGUUAGCUAAGGAUGCAGCAUCCUGGGAAUUGCAGAAAGUGCCAGCAGCAAUAUACUUGAUUUUCUAUAAGCACAACGAGAAGUCUUAUAAAGCAUUUCUCUUCUCUAUUCCUUCCUUUUCUGUUGUAUAGAAUAAAACAAAUCACUUUACCUUUCUUUCUCAGUUUUCCAAUCUGCUAAAUAAGAGAGUUGAACUCAAUUAUCUCAAGGCAUUAUCUGAUCGUAACAUUCUUUGACAUUCACAACUAUUGUUUCAUCUUAUGGGAAGAUUUUGACAGGGAGUGUCUUUGAUUCGAAUACAGAUGUAUGAAAUAAGGAAUUCUUAUACAGCAAUAUCUUUUAAAGUAGUCACCAAAAUAUAACAAUUCAAAACUAAAAUAUUCAUAAAUCAAGCAAAUAAUAUAGAUAGGAAACUGUAAAAAACACUUUUGAUUAGGUCUUCUGGUACCAUGUAUGUUUCAAAGAACACGUUUGGUUAUUCAGUACUGGUGUGUGUCCUCUAGUGAAUACAUUCAUUUGUUCCUUAUUAUGGAAUUUCUGCGUCCCCCCCCCCACUUUAUCUGAAAUCAAACUGUUCACUUUUAAAAGUCACUUACCUAAGUUAUUUGAUCUGUCUAACAAAAGAUCUGUUUUAGAAUAUAAAUGAGUAAUUUUGAAAGCUACAGAGUGAAUUUUCAAUCCUCUCUCUCCUUCUCCUUCUCCCCUCUAUCAGUAGAUAGAGAGAAAUUGAAGAUAAAUGAGAAAGUGGGGGUGAUGGAAGUGGUAAUCUGCUGGAGAAGGUGAGAUACAAAUGAGUACAUAGAAGGGUUUGCUAUUCUAUGGAAAAAGAAGUUGGAAAAGCAACUUCUUCAUAUGAGAAACACAGUGAAGAAGAUAGUGACAGAGGAUAUCUGAGGGAUGUAAGA
This is a long non-coding RNA of Antechinus flavipes (yellow-footed antechinus), 2031 nucleotides long. RefSeq lists it as uncharacterized. Lineage: Eukaryota; Metazoa; Chordata; Mammalia; Dasyuromorphia; Dasyuridae. The record is from RefSeq and is a predicted model, not a curated record. The transcript is spliced from 5 exons.